CAUUAGUAGGCCUCAGUAAAUGUUUAUUGGAUGAAUAAAUGAAUGACUCAUCAACAAACAUUUAUUGUGUGCCUGCUAACGUG
This is a non-coding RNA of Equus caballus (horse), 83 nucleotides long. Lineage: Eukaryota; Metazoa; Chordata; Mammalia; Perissodactyla; Equidae. The record is from Rfam.